GAUGAACGCUGGCGGCGUGCCUAAUACAUGCCAGUCGAGCGAACAGACGAGGAGCUUGCUCCUCUGACGUUAGCGGCGGACGGGUGAGUAACACGUGGAUAACCUACCUAUAAGACUGGGAUAACUUCGGGAAACCGGAGCUAAUACCGGAUAACAUGUUGAACCGCAUGGUUCAACAGUGAAAGACGGUCUUGCUGUCACUUAUCGAUGGAUCCGCGCCGCAUUAGCUAGUUGGUAAGGUAACGGCUUACCAAGGCAACGAUGCGUAGCCGACCUGAGAGGGUGAUCGGCCACACUGGAACUGGGACACGGUCCAGGCUCCUACGGGAGGCAGCAGUAGGGAAUCUUCCGCAAUGGGCGAAAGCCUGACGGAGCAACGCCGCGUGAGUGAAGAAGGUCUUCGGAUCGUAAAACUCUGUUAUUAGGGAAGAACAAAUGUGUAAGUAACUAUGCACGUCUUGACGGUACCUAAUCAGAAAGCCACGGCUAACUACGUG
RNAcentral lists this ribosomal RNA (497 nucleotides) under uncultured bacterium. RNAcentral describes it as "partial 16S ribosomal RNA". It matches the Rfam family "Bacterial small subunit ribosomal RNA", at positions 28 to 507 of the family's 1533-position model. The record is from RNAcentral.